GCAGCCGCGGUAAUUCCAGCUCCAAUAGCGUAUAUUAAAGUUGUUGUGGUUAAAAAGCUCGUAGUUGGAUCUCAACAGCCUUGAAGCGGUUAACUUUGUAGUUUUACUGCUUUAUAGGCUGUGCUUUUGCUGGAGGUUUAGGGGUGCUCUUGAUCGAGUGUCUCUGGAUGCCAGCAGGUUUACUUUGAAAAAAUUAGAGUGCUCAAAGCAGGCUAAAAUGCCUGAAUAUUCGUGCAUGGAAUAAUAGAAUAGGAUGUCGAUCCUAUUUUGUUGGUUUUCGGGACUCGACAUAAUGAUAAAUAGGGACAGUCGGGGGCAUUUGUAUUCAAACGACAGAGGUGAAAUUCUUGGACCGUUUGAAGACAAACUACUGCGAAAGCAUUUGCCAAGAAUGUUUUCAUUAAUCAAGAACGAAAGUUAGAGGUUCGAAGGCGAUUAGAUACCGCCCUAGUUCUAACCAUAAACGAUGCCAGCUAGCGAUCUGCCUGCGUUUUUACUGUAGACUGGGCAGGAAGCUUCCGGGAAACCAAAGCAUUUGGGUUCCAGGGGAAGUAUGGUUGCAAAGCUGAAACUUAAAGGAAUUGACGGAAGGGCACCACCAGGAGUGGAGCCUGUGGCUUAAUUUGACUCAACACGGGAAAUCUCACCAGGCCCGGACACUGGAAGGAUUGACAGAUUGAUAGCUCUUUCUUGAUUCGGUGGGUGGUGGUGCAUGGCCGUUCUUAGUUGGUGGAGUGAUUUGUCUGGUUAAUUCCGAUAACGAACGAGACUCUGUCCUGCUAAAUAGUUUCUACUUCUCUUUUGAGUAGAAAUUUCUUCUUAGAGGGACUGGUGACUCUUAGUCACACGAGAUUGAGCAAUAACAGGUCUGUGAUGCCCAAGG
RNAcentral lists this ribosomal RNA (883 nucleotides) under uncultured eukaryote. RNAcentral describes it as "SSU rRNA". It matches the Rfam family "Eukaryotic small subunit ribosomal RNA", at positions 570 to 1476 of the family's 1831-position model. The record is from RNAcentral.